Molecule: ribosomal RNA, 460 nt
Filed under: uncultured bacterium
Lineage: Bacteria
Description: partial 16S ribosomal RNA
Rfam family: Bacterial small subunit ribosomal RNA
Source: RNAcentral
CCUACGGGUGGCAGCAGUGAGGAAUAUUGGUCAAUGGACGCAAGUCUGAACCAGCCAUGCCGCGUGCAGGAAGACGGCUCUCUGAGUUGUAAAUUGCUUUUGUACGAGGGUAAACGCAGAUACGCGUAUCUGUCUGCAAGUAUCGUACGAAUAAGGAUCGGCUAACUCCGUUCCAGCAGCCGCGGUACUACGGAGGAUUCAAUCGUUAUCCGGAUUUAUUGGGUUUAAAGGGUGCGUAGGCGGUCGGAUAAGUUAGAGGUGAAAUCCCCGGGCUCAACUUCGGAAUUGCCUCUGAUACUGUUCGGCUAGAGAGUAGUAGCGGUAGGCGGAAUGUAUGGUGUAGCGGUGAAAUGCGUAGAGAUCAGACAGAACACCGAUUGCGAAGGCAGCUUACCAAGCUACUUCUGACGUUGAGGCACGAAAGCGUGGGGAGCAAACAGGAUUAGAUACCCCGGUAGUC